This 478-nucleotide ribosomal RNA is filed under the name uncultured bacterium. RNAcentral describes it as "partial 16S ribosomal RNA". It matches the Rfam family "Bacterial small subunit ribosomal RNA", at positions 28 to 523 of the family's 1533-position model. The record is from RNAcentral.
GACGAACGCUGGCGGCGUGCUUAACACAUGCAAGUCGAACGGUAAGGCCCUUCGGGGUACACGAGUGGCGAACGGGUGAGUAACACGUGGGUGAUCUGCCCUGCACUUCGGGAUAAGCCUGGGAAACUGGGUCUAAUACCGGAUAGGACCACUGCCUGCAUGGGGGGUGGUGGAAAGCUUUUGCGGUGUGGGAUGGGCCCGGGGCCUAUCAGCUUGUUGGUGGGGUGAUGGCCUACCAAGGCGACGACGGGUAGCCGGCCUGAGAGGGUGACCGGCCACACUGGGACUGAGAUACGGCCCAGACUCCUACGGGAGGCAGCAGUGGGGAAUUUUGGACAAUGGGCGCAAGCCUGAUCCAGCCAUUCCGCGUGCAGGAUGAAGGCCCUCGGGUUGUAAACCUCUUUCAGCACCGACGAAGCGCAAGUGACGGUAGGUGCAGAAGAAGGACCGGCCAACUACGUGCCAGCAGCCGCCGUAA